Antechinus flavipes (yellow-footed antechinus) is the source of this 770-nucleotide long non-coding RNA. RefSeq lists it as uncharacterized. The transcript is spliced from 2 exons. The record is from RefSeq and is a predicted model, not a curated record. NCBI's taxonomy places the organism in Eukaryota, Metazoa, Chordata, Mammalia, Dasyuromorphia, Dasyuridae.
GAUACACCCACACACACGUACAUGUUUAUCUGUUUGUGUGUGUGUUUGUCAGAGAUAAAACUUGAAUCCAGGUCCAAAUUGCAAAGAAAUGUAUGGUCGAAGAACAAGAUGUGCUGGUUAUAAAUGAGAGGAGGACAUAAGAAGCCCAAAUGACAUGAAGAAGGUCUCUUGUACAUUGGACAGAUCACCUUAUAGGAGAAAAUCACCGAGACUGAUGAGAUGGGUCACAACCUGCAUCGUUGGACAGAAUAACCCGAUGGGGGAGAUCCCAGGAACAUGCGACUGUUGAAAUUUCCCCAACUCUAAUAUCUUGACUAAAGUAGACACUUGCUAAAUGCUUAGGAAAUGGGACAGAAGGGAACGUAGCUCCCUUUCUGUGUAACCAAAAGGAGUCGGUGUCUUUAAGAAGAACGCUUAAUGUAUAACAUUUUUUAAGAAUGACUUCAGAUCCCUUGUGUUUCCAGCCAACAAACACCAGUGGAAUUCGCUCACUUCCUCGGGUUAGCUGUUCCUAUUACUGAGAAGAGCAACAGGCCCUGGAAACCCCCCAUCUUAGUGAAUCACAUCUGGGUAUCUGAUGUUAAAAUUUGAUAUAAUCGGCCGAAGAACAGUCAAUCACCAACCGCUUAUUAUUAGGUGCCCGCUGUAUGCCAGACAUAGUCCUGGGCACUGAGAAGCCAGAGAAAAUUAAACAGUCCUUGACCUCAGGGAGUUUAUAUUUUAUCUCUUCUAUCUCAUUCAAAACAAAGUCAAUAAAUGCUGUAAAACUA